GCUGAGCUGGCUCGAGUGUGUAGCGCUACUGACCCGGGAGGGCGGUGGCUGUCCGCGGCGGUGACCGCUCACCUUCGGUCAGGUUCAGAAAGACGUGAAGAUGGAGCGCUGUGCUGGAUUCCUGUGAAUGCCAGCGGCAGCGGAGGAGCCCGGAAGCUCUAUUCGACCAGCUCGGGCCGAGAAAAGAAGGCUCUAAAACUGUUAGAUUCCGGAACGAGGCUCAGAACUGUCGGGAUCUUGGGUGACAACCACCGAGGCCGAGAAGAUGUAGGCGGGACUCCAGCCUCUGAAGUCCCAGGCGGCCCUGGGACCUUGGUUCCGGAAUCUCCUGGAGUCAGCCGCCUCUGCCCUGAGUUUGGUGGGCUGUGUACCUUCAUCUGACCGUAGCUUAGAUGCUUUCCUUUCAGAUCUUCACAUCAAACUUGAGUCGUUUCCAUUUUAUUGAAUAGGAAACUAAGGAUCAAGGAAGUUGGGUGUAGUGGCCAGGAUGGCCUAGGCGUGUCUUCUUUUUCUCGGAAAGCCACGCUCCACCAGUGAAUUUUGUGGUUGACUUCAUCAUACUUGGGACAUUGUUCUAUAGACUCGAGGGACCUGGGAACCCCGGUAAGGAGCUCAGCAGACAAGUGAGUCCUAGAAAGGCCCAACAAUGCACGCGGGGCAGUGGUCCUGGCCAGCUCUCUCCUAACUUCCUUCCAGGGAAAAGAUUUCACAAAGUUUUGUUUGACCAAAUUGCCGUUCACAGAAACAGCCAUAUAGAUUUCUUCCUGGAGUCCCCUGAGCCAGAUGGGAAUGGCUUUCUGACUAUAUGACCAACCGCAUUUGGCCAGAGCUCAGAGCCAUUUUUCUUGUCAAAGCUCCCAGCCAGGCUGUGGCUGUAAUUGUGGAAUUAAAGCCAGUGGCUCUCUCUCUGUAAUUAGGAAAUGCUGCUUCUUCUCAACGAGUGUCUAUGGAUUCCUGGUUCUGAUGAGAUGAAAUAAUCUAGAAAAGACACCAAAAAUAAUAAAAGCUUCAGGACCCUUUGCAAUCACUGAGGACUUGAAAGAGCUUUUAUUUAUGUGGUAGCAACUACUCUGUCUAUUAAGUCACAGCAACAGGAAGGUAACACAGAGAAGAGAGCUGAGGGACUACCAGACCAACAGCCUUGCCCUGUGCCAGCUGAGG
Non-coding RNA from Myodes glareolus (Bank vole), 1161 nucleotides. NCBI's taxonomy places the organism in Eukaryota, Metazoa, Chordata, Mammalia, Rodentia, Cricetidae. The record is from RefSeq and is a predicted model, not a curated record.